CCUACGGGUGGCAGCAGUGGGGGAUAUUGCACAAUGGGGGGAACCCUGAUGCAGCGACGCCGCGUGGGUGAAGGAGUAUUUCGGUAUGUAAAGCCCUAUCGGCAGGGAAGAAUUUAGACGGUACCUGACUAAGAAGCCCCGGCUAACUACGUGCCAGCAGCCGCGGUAAUACGUAGGGGGCAAGCGUUGUCCGGAUUCACUGGGUGUAAAGGGAGCGUAGACGGCCAGGCAAGCCUGGAGUGAAAGCCCGGGGCCCAACCCCGGGACUGCUCUGGGAACUGUCCGGCUGGAGUGCGGGAGGGGCAGGCGGAAUUCCUGGUGUAGCGGUGAAAUGCGUAGAUAUUAGGAGGAACACCAGUGGCGAAGGCGGCUUACUGGACUGUAACUGACGUUGAGGCUCGAAAGCGUGGGGAGCAAACAGGAUUAGAUACCCCUGUAGUC
Molecule: ribosomal RNA, 441 nt
Filed under: uncultured bacterium
Lineage: Bacteria
Description: partial 16S ribosomal RNA
Rfam family: Bacterial small subunit ribosomal RNA
Source: RNAcentral